This 497-nucleotide ribosomal RNA is filed under the name uncultured bacterium. Its description in RNAcentral is "partial 16S ribosomal RNA". It matches the Rfam family "Bacterial small subunit ribosomal RNA", at positions 28 to 507 of the family's 1533-position model. The record is from RNAcentral.
GAUGAACGCUCGCGGCGUGCCUAAUACAUGCAAGUCGAGCGAACAGACGAGGAGCUUGCUCCUCUGACGUUAGCGGCGGACGGGUGAGUAACACGUGGAUAACCUACCUAUAAAACUGGGUUAACUUCGGGAAACCGGAGCUAAUCCCGGAUAAUAUAUUGAACCGCAUGGUUCAAUAUUGAAAGACGGUUUUGCUGUCACUUAUAGAUGGAUCCGCGCCGCAUUAGCUAGUUGGUAAGGUAACGGCUUACCAAGGCAACGAUGCGUAGCCGACCUGAGAGGGUGAUCGGCCACACUGGAACUGAGACACGGUCCAGACUCCUACGGGAGGCAGCAGUAGGGAAUCUUCCGCAAUGGGCGAAAGCCUGACGGAGCAACGCCGCGUGAGUGAUGAAGGUCUUCGGAUCGUAAAACUCUGUUAUUAGGGAAGAACAAAUGUGUAAGUAACUAUGCACGUCUUGACGGUACCUAAUCAGAAAGCCACGGCUAACUACGUG